Engraulis encrasicolus (European anchovy) is the source of this 919-nucleotide long non-coding RNA. RefSeq lists it as uncharacterized. Lineage: Eukaryota; Metazoa; Chordata; Actinopteri; Clupeiformes; Engraulidae. The record is from RefSeq and is a predicted model, not a curated record. The transcript is spliced from 4 exons.
GCCAGUCGAAUUUUCUUUGGAGCUAGAAACAAUCAAAAGAAAAUAUUUCGUUUUUUAUGAAGUUUAAGUUUCCUUUUGGAGUACGGAGCGUCCAGCUCUGUGAAUGAUGUAAGUUUUGAAGACUAGAGGCUUCCUUUCAUCGAGUAUUUGUUUUGUUUCAAUUCGCCUUAUUCACCCGGAACUUUCUAAAGACGUUGAGGGGUACACUUCAGGGGGUACACCCGGCUGCACACUGUUUGGCGCCUCACUGCUGUGUGCCCAAAUGUAGUCCUACGUCCUCAAAGAGAAACAAAUCCUACCGUGGACAGACUUUCCACCGUUUCGCCAAAGAGCAGGCACUUCGGCGUGAAUGAAUUAAUCACAUCAAGAGGGAUCCUGGUCCAUAUUUCAAGAUCAACGCUGAGACCGAGGUUUGAUCUGAGCACGUUGAGAAGCAAUGCUUUGUUAAGGUCACCCGUGGUAUGACAACGCUAAUAAAGGAUGCUGUGCCUGCCAACUUUGUUCGCCUGGACUUCAGAGAAGCCAAAGAGGAGAAUCAUCAUUCGCAUACCGUGUAUGGAUUCCAUGGAGUAUUCCAUCGAGUAUUUCUUCUGUUUCAAUCGUCUUGGUGAAGUUUUUGAGCUGGAUCUGGAUUCUGCUGAGGAUUCGUCGACUACUAGAUGGCGAGCCACCCACUCAUUCGAAUGUGAUCCUGUUCUACAUUGCGCAUGGCAUAUUUGGUAGGAUUGUGGCCUGCUCGUGUCACAUCACUGACUAUGACUGACUUCAACGCCUUGAACUGAACUGCUUGAAAGGAGCUAUUUUUCUUUUUGAACAACUUAAAGGAACUCUCUACAUCGUCUCUUUUGAGGAUUUAAAGGACUAUUUCCAAUUUUUGAAGGACAAUUCAAUUUUUUUUUUUUUUUUUAAUGUUCAAACC